This 1012-nucleotide long non-coding RNA is filed under the name Salvia miltiorrhiza (redroot sage). RNAcentral describes it as "long non-coding RNA (SMIL_LNC008104)". The record is from RNAcentral. Lineage: Eukaryota; Viridiplantae; Streptophyta; Magnoliopsida; Lamiales; Lamiaceae.
GUUAAUUGCCGCUAAAUCCACGAGAAAUUCUCGAAUUCCGGAAAAAUAACACGACAUAUAAAAUUGGAACGUAAAUUCAUCACCGGUGAAAUUAAUUUGAUUUUUCCCACGGCGAGCUAUUUCAGCCAACUUAACGCUGAGGUGGCAACCGUGAGUCCAGCGUGGCUCUGCCGGACAGUGAAUAAGAACGUCGUCGUUUCAUUAGGCCUAUUACUGCAUCAUUUUGUUCAAUACAACAUCGUUUCAACAUAAAAAAAAUUCAAGUUAAAAUAAAAUAAAAUCAAAUUAAAAACCAAACUUCUUUUCACCUUCAUUAUCACUCUUAUCUCUCGUCCCACUCAUGGGCUCCCUUUAAUUCCAUCUCUUUGAAUCUGCCCCACCACCUCCUUCUCCGGCGAAUCCGCCAUCCAUCGCAGCCAACUCAUCCCUCAGCCUCUCUCCUUCUCUCCCUCAUCUCUCGCUUCUACCGGUCAGACAACCAUCUGAUAGAAAUCGGCACUGCUGAGCUUCCUCUGUUCUUUCCUUGCCAGCAGUCGCCACCACCACCGCCUCCUCUGUUCUCUCCUUGCCAGCGGUCGCCACCCUUAUUUCGCCUUGUUUACCGCCACCCCCGGCCCGUAGCAGCGCCGCCUCACCACCGCCCUCCUCCAACCCCUAAGAUCUUUGAACCCUGGCCUCCCACUCUUCUCCUUCUCCGCCGCGCCUCAAUUCCCCUCCACGAUCCAUGGCAUCGGUGGCACCUUCGAUUAGGAGUCACCGCUCUUUGUCGUAUUUCGUCGCCGGUUUUUCAAUUCUCAACCCUAAUUUGGGCCAGGCGCAACCCCAGUUGCAGCCGCCGUGCCGGUCUACACAUCAACCAAAACGACUUAUGCGACGUCGUUCUCAGUGCCGGGGCCACCGACGCCCCAGACCAGCCCCCAGCUCAUGCCUACAAAGGAUUCCUCCUCCCCCUCUCCCCCAAAUCGUCAAUCGUCCCCCUCAAAUUGGCCCCCAAAAUAGCGGUGCUUAGCAG